GAUGAACGCUGGCGGCGUGCCUAAUACAUGCAAGUCGAGCGAACGGACGAGAAGCUUGCUUCUCUGAUGUUAGCGGCGGACGGGUGAGUAACACGUGGAUAACCUACCUAUAAGACUGGGAUAACUUCGGGAAACCGGAGCUAAUACCGGAUAAUAUUUUGAACCGCAUGGUUCAAAAGUGAAAGACGGUCUUGCUGUCACUUAUAGAUGGAUCCGCGCUGCAUUAGCUAGUUGGUAAGGUAACGGCUUACCAAGGCAACGAUGCAUAGCCGACCUGAGAGGGUGAUCGGCCACACUGGAACUGAGACACGGUCCAGACUCCUACGGGAGGCAGCAGUAGGGAAUCUUCCGCAAUGGGCGAAAGCCUGACGGAGCAAAGCCGCGUGAGUGAUGAAGGUCUUCGGAUCGUAAAACUCUGUUAUUAGGGAAGAACAUAUGUGUAAGCAACUGUGCACAUCUUGACGGUACCUAAUCAGAAAGCCACGGCUAACUACGUG
This 497-nucleotide ribosomal RNA is filed under the name uncultured bacterium. RNAcentral describes it as "partial 16S ribosomal RNA". It matches the Rfam family "Bacterial small subunit ribosomal RNA", at positions 28 to 507 of the family's 1533-position model. The record is from RNAcentral.